ACUAAACUAUAAAUAAAAAUACAUAUUUAGCAAAUUUAAGAUUACACAAUAAUAGAAAUUUCGUACCUGCUAACCACUUAUCGAGAUAUGGGACAAGAUGGAAAGUUCUUGUAAGCAUCUAUCUUAAAUAUUCAUAACACCAUAUGCAAUAGUGUUUUACUGCAUUUGAUCAUGUAAAGUCCACUCAACCAAAAAAUGAGCUUCACACCACUUGACUAGCAAAUCACCGUAGCAACUGCAGUACUACUCUAUUCUUCAAAAACUUCUACCAUUUGACACAAAUUGAAAAGCAAAGUGCAGCUGAAAUUCAUUAGUAAAAUACAAUUAAACCAUAAAAAGUUCAAAAUACUUAAUAUAAACCAUGAAUAUAUAACUUCACGUCUUGUU
Molecule: long non-coding RNA, 387 nt
Filed under: Eucalyptus grandis
Lineage: Eukaryota; Viridiplantae; Streptophyta; Magnoliopsida; Myrtales; Myrtaceae
Description: long non-coding RNA (EGRA_LNC002431)
Source: RNAcentral